Long non-coding RNA from Wyeomyia smithii (pitcher-plant mosquito), 426 nucleotides. RefSeq lists it as uncharacterized. Lineage: Eukaryota; Metazoa; Arthropoda; Insecta; Diptera; Culicidae. The transcript is spliced from 2 exons. The record is from RefSeq and is a predicted model, not a curated record.
UAGGGGGGAAGCGCUCGAAACAAUUGGCUAGGUUAUAAUUGAGAGUUUGCAUGAAGUGAUAAAUUUUCCUGUCUCUAGCGGAAAUGUGUGGUGUACUAAAAUGUUGCUGUAACUGUGCGGGAACUAUUGCGUGCUGUUGCUGUAGCUGUGCACUACAAACCUUGUGCUGCAUCAUAGUGGUGGCUCUGGUCAUUGCUUUGGCGAUCACUCUUGGAGUUUACUUCGGAGUUUUCCACAAUAAUGACGAUUCUUCUGAUACGACGACAGUAUCACCUGCCAGCCGGCUGUUAUCGAGUCUUUAUCCAAAGCAGGAAGAGGAUUUUCUGAGUCACUAGCUGCUGUCAUCGAUGUUCGUUGUAUCAAGUGGUUUAUAUAUAAUGUGUAAUCAAUUAAUUACUUAAAUUCUCAACCAGUUAUUCUAUAUAA